This 459-nucleotide ribosomal RNA is filed under the name uncultured bacterium. RNAcentral's name for it is "SSU rRNA". It matches the Rfam family "Bacterial small subunit ribosomal RNA", at positions 26 to 518 of the family's 1533-position model. The record is from RNAcentral.
AGAAUCAACGCUGGCGGCGUGCCUAACACAUGCAAGUCGAACGAGAAAGGGUAGCAAUACCUGAGUAAAGUGGCGCGCGGGUGAGUAACACGUGACUAACCUACCUUUUAGUGGGGGAUAACCUAGGGAAACCUGGGCUAAUACCGCAUAAUACCUACGGGUCAAAGCAGCAAUGCGCUGAAAGAGGGGGUCGCGGUCGAUUAGUUAGUUGGCAGGGUAAUGGCCUACCAAGACUGUGAUCGAUAUCCGGCCUGAGAGGGCGCACGGACACACUGGAACUGAAACACGGUCCAGACUCCUACGGGAGGCAGCAGUGGGAAUUUUGCGCAAUGGGGGAAACCCUGACGCAGCAACGCCGCGUGGAGGAUGAAGUCCCUUGGGACGUAAACUCCUUUCGAUCGGGACGAUAAUGACGGUACCGGAAGAAGAAGCCCCGGCUAACUUCGCGCCAGCAGCCGC